CCUACGGGAUGCAGCAGUGGGGAAUAUUGCACAAUGGGGGAAACCCUGAUGCAGCAACGCCGCGUGAAGGAAGACGGUUUUCGGAUUGUAAACUUCUGUUCUUAGUGAAGAAGAAUGACGGUAGCUAAGGAGCAAGCCACGGCUAACUACGUGCCAGCAGCCGCGGUAAUACGUAGGUGGCAAGCGUUGUCCGGAAUUACUGGGUGUAAAGGGAGCGCAGGCGGGAAGCCAAGUCAGCUGUGAAAACUACGGGCUUAACUUGUAGACUGCAGUUGAAACUGGUUUUCUUGAGUGAAGUAGAGGUUGGCGGAAUUCCGAGUGUAGCGGUGAAAUGCUUAGAGAUCACGAAGAACCCCGAUUGCGAAGGCAGCCUGCCGCAGCGUUACUGACGCUGAAGCUCGAAAGCGCGGGUAUCGAACAGGAUUAGAUACCCUAGUAGUC
This 441-nucleotide ribosomal RNA is filed under the name uncultured bacterium. Its description in RNAcentral is "partial 16S ribosomal RNA". It matches the Rfam family "Bacterial small subunit ribosomal RNA", at positions 338 to 795 of the family's 1533-position model. The record is from RNAcentral.